Molecule: non-coding RNA, 573 nt
Organism: Pelobates cultripes (western spadefoot toad)
Lineage: Eukaryota; Metazoa; Chordata; Amphibia; Anura; Pelobatidae
Source: the annotation of a GenBank genome assembly
CAUGGAUUAAAUGGGAAAAGGAGAUGAAUGUUGAACUGCAAUAUAAAGAAUGGUUGAAGGGUUUGAUCAUUGUUAGGAGGAAUGUUUACAGCAUGACUCUAAUAGAAACUCAGUACAAAAUAACUUUACGCUGGUACUUAGUCCCAGUUAGACUGCACAAACUCCAAUACUUCACAAAUGUGUUGGAGAUGCGAAUCAAACGUGGGUUCCUUCUUACAUAUCUGGUGGGGAUGUCCUGAAUUAAAAAAAAAAACUGUAAAGCCCUUACAGAAGUUUCUUAAGUCUCUACUGGAAUUUACUUUGUUCUAACUCCUCAGAUCUUUCUUUUUAAUAUGUUGUUACCUGGAAAUCAUCCUUAGAAUUGUCUAAUUGUUCACAUAAUGUUAACAGUUAAAAUUAGUAUUGCAUGAAAAUGGAAAUCUAAGGGUGAUUUAGGUUGGACAGAAAUAUUGCAACAAAUAGAUUACCAACAUAGAAUGGAGGCCUCUUUUCAUUUAGACCAAUCUCAAUACAUCAAAUAUCUGAAGCUUUAUGCUCCCUGGAAACAAUUCAAGGAGAACAAUUCGAGCUUAU